This 258-nucleotide ribosomal RNA is filed under the name uncultured bacterium. RNAcentral describes it as "partial 16S ribosomal RNA". It matches the Rfam family "Bacterial small subunit ribosomal RNA", at positions 524 to 776 of the family's 1533-position model. The record is from RNAcentral.
UACGUAGGGUGCAAGCGUUGUCCGGAAUUAUUGGGCGUAAAAGAGCUCGUAGGCGGUCUGUCGCGUCUGCUGUGAAAAACUCGGGGGCUUAACCCCGGGCCUGCAGUGGGUACGGGCAGACUAGAGUGCGGUAGGGGAGACUGGAAUUCCUGGUGUAGCGGUGAAAUGCGCAGAUAUCAGGAGGAAUACCGAUGGCGAAGGCAGGUCUCUGGGCUAUAACUGACGCUCAUGCACGAAAAGCGUGGGGGAGCAAACAGG